AUGGAGUUGAGUUUGUCUCAUACGCUUCACCUUUUUAAUAUCUUUCGUGAGUAUGAUGGAAAGGAUAAUUGUGCUCAAGUGCUUGAAGAAGAAAUCUAUAGAAUGUUUGGUACUAAAUUUUUGAAUGAUGAGCAUGAUUGCAAUGUUGUUAGUAUGAAUUCCUUGAAUAUCCAUGAUGCUUAUGAUAUGCAAAGCCACAAGCUUGGGGAAGCUAUGUUUGAUGGAGAUGAUAUUUUUUGUCCCCCAAGCUUUGAUGAGCAAAUUUACUAUGAUGAAAGCAUGCCUCCUAUCUAUGAUGAUUAUUGUGAUGACACAUCUGCUUUAAAGAAUAAUGAUAACCAUGAAACGUGUCAUCUUGAUCUUAAUUUUCAAUCACAUGAUAGUUAUUUUGUUGAGUUUGCUCCUACUACUAUUCAUGAGAAGAAAUUUGCUUAUGUUGAGAGUAGUGAAUUUUCUAUGCUUGUAGAUCAUGAAAAGAAUGCUUUAGGUGCUGGUUAUAUUGUUGAAUUCAUUCAUGAUGCUACUUAA
This 528-nucleotide ribosomal RNA is filed under the name Triticum aestivum (bread wheat). RNAcentral's name for it is "partial small subunit ribosomal RNA". The record is from RNAcentral. Lineage: Eukaryota; Viridiplantae; Streptophyta; Magnoliopsida; Poales; Poaceae.